UAAAAAAGAGGAGAAGACGGGCCCCUAAUAAUCGGCAGAGCGAGCCAAGAAAGAGAACAGGGAUUUGAUCGCCUACUAAAAUGUCGGGCCGAUGAAGGAAAAAAAGAGCCGGAAUGGGAGUGAGAUAGCUAUCCGAUAGAAAUGCUAGACGUCGAGUGAGACGGGGGGUUGCAAUACUGAGUUCAUGGUUGAACAGACUGACUGCCAGGCUCGCAUUCCCCU
RNAcentral lists this long non-coding RNA (222 nucleotides) under Theobroma cacao (cacao). RNAcentral describes it as "long non-coding RNA (TCAC_LNC001028)". The record is from RNAcentral. Lineage: Eukaryota; Viridiplantae; Streptophyta; Magnoliopsida; Malvales; Malvaceae.